This is a long non-coding RNA of Poecile atricapillus (Black-capped chickadee), 799 nucleotides long. RefSeq lists it as uncharacterized. The transcript is spliced from 4 exons. NCBI's taxonomy places the organism in Eukaryota, Metazoa, Chordata, Aves, Passeriformes, Paridae. The record is from RefSeq and is a predicted model, not a curated record.
GGCCCGGCGGGGCUGUGGGAGCGCUGAGGGCAGCCGGUACCGAGCCGCAGCGUGCGGCGGACGGCGGCGGGCUGCCCGCGUCACCCCCUGCGCGGGCUCCCGGGAGGUGAUGACGAGCGGGUUGCGGCCGGUGUUGGUGACCGGAGGCGGCCGCUCAGGAGUUUCUAGACUGCAGCAAAAUACAGGUGACUUGACAGUGAAAAUUUUUGUUGCCUCGGAAAAUAACGUUUUAUGAGCUACAGUUUUAUCAGUGCUGCGUGCUCUUACUUCAGCACAUUAUCCAUCUUAUGUGGAGCUGCAGAAGACAAUAAUCUGCCCGUCUUUGAAGCGUGAAGAUGAUGUGAAAUCUCUUGUUUUGGAGAAUCAAAAAGCAGUCUGCAAGCACAAUCCCAUUUAAUUGGUCGAUGUGGGGAUGCUUUUCCUGUUGAAGCUUUUCCAGUUUCUGUUAAGUGAAAUAUCUGUGCAUAUGCGAAUAAAAUCUCUAACAUUUCCCUCUGCCAGCACAGUGGCUGUGCUGUGUAUUUCCAGUGGAUUCCUCUUUUGGGUAGAUCCGAUGGCUCUUUAUUGGGAGAGCAGUUUGGUUGCAAUGCUCAUUGAUGAGGAUGGGAAAUCCCUUUUGUUCCUCUUUUCCUACCAUGUGGAGAUCAAUUGGAGACUUUCUGUUGCUGAACUUUGAGUUGCAGCUCCUUCCUCUCCCCUCUGCUAGCCGUGCUGUUGGCAGCAAACAGAGCACCACUGGGACAGGAAUGAGUGGGAAUUUUAUAAUGCACCUUCCCCAUUUCAUCAAACUCUACCUUUA